GCGCGUACUGGAUACACAAGCCAGAAAGCAGUUUGCGCGCUACAGAACUGAGGAUGAACCUAUGUCCUGCAGGUUUGGGUCCAUCUAUAAUUCAAACUUUUAAAUCUCAAUGGACAAGAAUAUUAUCUGCAGAUGAAGACUUAUUUUCUGAGUUGGAAACCAUACAGAACUAACCACUGGCUCUACUGCUGCCAUGGAAAAAUAUCAAUAAUUUACAUUUGUUCCAAAGGAAAGAAGAAGCUGUAUUGAAAUCAAUUGCUACAGAGUUGUGUGAAAGCAGAUUGUCAGGUCCUUUUGAUUCACCCCCUUGAGAAUCUUUUAGAAUGCCCCAUUGGUUCCAAAAAAAAAAAGAAGCCAAAUAUUGAUUGCUUCACCAUUUACCUUUCCUAGAUGGAUUUUCAUUCAAAGCUUAUUCUAACAAAGAAUUGUCACAAGUUUAAUAUGUCUCCCUUGAUGAGGUGGCAUCUGUCAUCAGUAAGUUGCCGAUGCAAGGCUCAGCAAGUUAGACAUUUAGUCAGCUUUCAGGUUAUUACCAAUUUGGGGAACAAGACUGCCUUAUGCUUGGGUUUGCUUCCAAGGGAAGUAUUUGUUUGACAAGGUGAUGAUGAUGGGUUAAUCAACUGCUUGUUCUUCUUUUGAAACCUUCAGUAUAGCACUCAAUUGGUGUUGGCAAACAGAUCUCCCAAAGCCAUACAUUGCCAAGAGAGGACAUGGAAUAAUUUAACAAUUUAUGCCAGGAUAUGGGGAUUUCUUUGUCUCCAGAUAAGAUCUCAGACCCUUCAAGACUGAUCAAUUCCUUGGGUUUUGAUAUUGAUGAUGAUUUAGCCUUUAGACUAACAUGUGCUAAGACUUAACAGCUGAAGCUUUUGAUAGAUGAGUUCUUAUAAACCCGAAAGAUAAGGGUAUGUAAAGUGGAAGUAGCAGAGUCAAUGGAAAAAACAUAGGUAAAACCUUGAAUUAAAAUUGAAGCCAUCACAUCAUUGUGGUAAUCCCUGAGCUCUUACUGUAAUACAGAGACUAUAACCUGCAUGUUUGUAUUAGGCUGGAACUUCAUGGCCUUUUUAACUUUACAUGCCAGGCAGUCACCUCAGUUGGGACAUUUUCAAGAUUAAUUUCAAAUCUCUUGAGUAGGUGAAAGCCAAACAUCAUUGAGUAUGGGUUAGGGGCAGAGUCAAAUAGGAUUUGUAUUUAUGAAAUGUUUUCUUGUCAACUUUUAAUGAGGACUCUCUGUGACAGAAUGAUUGGACAACCUCCGGUACUCCAAGGUUAUAUACAGAUGCAGCAGCAAGCAAGGGUAUUGGAGCAUUUUUUCAGGGCUGUCAGUUUCCUGCACUAUAAUCAUUUUCUUGGCCAUAGGACAGGACGUUGGACUUCCUUGAAAUGAUCCCCAUUUGGGUGGCUACCCUAUUAUCGAAAAAACAUUUUAGGAAUAGUAAGAUGGUAAUUUUAUUUUAUUUUAUUUUUGAUAACCAGUUGGUGACUGUGAUUUUGAUAAAAAAAGUGUUCUUAUUAGAUUUGGGUGAAGUUAAUUUUGAGACUUUUGGUAUGUUUGAGCUUAUAAAUCAAUUUGACAUUUUCAGCUAAACAUGUUUCUGGAAAAGACUAUGCCAUUGGCAAAAGUUUAUUCCAUUUACAUAUCUGCAAAUUUCCAGAUAUCAGUAACUCACACUGAUACUGGAGGAAGUUUGAUUAGUUGGACAGGAUUGGCCUUGAAUUUACUAACUGUAUUUGGGCUCUGAAAAAUGGGAAGUUUUACUCAACGGCACUUACUUCCUUUAAGAAAUUUUACUUCAAUUUACCCUGGUCUAUUACAGUCAUCAUCCAUUACCUAAUUCAUCAAUGUUUAUUGCAAGAAGCAGUAUAUACCAUGUGUAUAUGUUUAUCAGCUAUAGCAUGGUUGGCCAGGUUAAUUGGUCUCCUUGAGUUCACCUGCCACUGAUUGGUCAAUGGGGUUUUCAAAGGGUGGGUGAAUAAUAAGGGUGCUCUUUCAGACCCCAGAAGACCUAUAAGUAUCUCAUUGCUAGCCACUAUCAACCUUAAAGUUUGGGCUAUGACCAAUACCCUUCACACUUUCAUAGUCUGGUUAACACUUUUCACAUGGUUAGAUGCAGGUGCUUUUACAGUCAGUGAGUUAUUGCAAGAGUUAUACUAGGAUGACCAGGUCAUUAUACGGUUGAAGAAAUGCAAACCAAACCAAUCCAGUCAAGGUCAGCAAUUAGGUUUAGGCAAGUUGGAUGCAUACAAAAUGUCUCUGGUACACUGCACUAAGGCUUUACAUUAUGUAAAUGGGUAAAUUAUUUUGCCAACUUUUUUUGAGCAUCCUACAGGAGACUUAGCUACACUCAGGGAAGCAAAUUAUGGUGUUACUGGCUUAAGGAAUGCCACCUCACAUGUAUUUCCCUCCCAUUCAUUCAGACUUGGCAGAACCUCCAAUUUAAAUCAGUAGGGUCAUUCUGUUAAAAUGCCUUUUUUACCUAUAUUAGAAGCUAAUUUGAUCUUUUCUUUUUCAGACAGGAAACAACUGGUGAUGAUAGUUCAUUCUUACAUUGCAAAGGAGUUCUAAGGGCAGAAGUAUGUGAGAAUGGCUAAAGUGUUAGUUAAACCCCUCACAAUCGUCUCAAAGUUGUAAGUGUUUUCCUGGCCUCUCUUGAUUUCUACUUUGGGAAGCUUUUGGAACGUCACUUCAUGGUAUUGAGCCACAAGCAGUAGUUAUUCAUUUGAUGGCAAUGAUUUAAUGCAGGUACUAAAAAAAGAUUUUAUUAGCCAGGAUUUUGUCUGAUUUAUCUUCACUUGGAUUACGGUAUCCAAGUAUAAAAGUAUUUUGGUCUGCCAUUUUUUUCAAGGAUCUAAUGGAUUAGUGCAUAAAAGCCAUUAGCAAUUGAGCUGUCCAGCAGAUAUGGAGCAGCAUAAUUUACAGGAAUUUUCAAUACUGAACAUUCAAACUUUGCAAAUCUAGAGAUUUUUAUGACUUUACCAGGGCUCAUUUAAAUAAAUUUGGGUUUAAUUUUCUCAAUUUGCACCUAGUCAGUGCCUUUCAAAUGCACUAUGUUAUGCUAUUUAAUGAGUUACGUACAUAAAACAUAUCUAAGGCUCAAUUUUUGAAGUUAAUUUUGCAAUCAUUUUAGUAUGGUGUUCAGGUUAACAUUCAUAGUCAACAUAUUAAUUGCAUCAGUUCAUGUAGCCUGCUGAUGAAGAGGGAACAACAUGCUCCACAUGCUGGUGAAUGGUUGCUUUGCAGCCUCAACCCCAAAUGAGCCCCCCCCCCACCUUGGUUUUCAUAAGUUCCUAUUCUGGGUUGAUGUGACAGGUAAUAACACUAACCUGCAAUAAUGGUACACAACUUGAGGUCCGCCAAUCUUACUGUCUUGCCAGCUAUUUGUGGUGAGGUCAGCAGGAUACAGACCUGUAUGGGUUGAUACCAUCAAGGACCCAAGCAGAUAUGGUGCACAUCAGUUAUCAGGACAAAAUGGGCAGGGUAAUUCUGACUGGCCACAUGUAGAGGAAUUUGGAGUUGAAUAUAUAUGUUAUGAAAUGUGUAGUUCAUACAAGUAAUGUUCAAUGUUAUAUGUUGUCUUCACUAUGAUCUAAUAAAUGGUUGCACUGGCA
This is a long non-coding RNA of Protopterus annectens (West African lungfish), 3606 nucleotides long. RefSeq lists it as uncharacterized. The record is from RefSeq and is a predicted model, not a curated record. NCBI's taxonomy places the organism in Eukaryota, Metazoa, Chordata, Ceratodontiformes, Protopteridae. The transcript has 2 exons.